AGUCUGUUUGGAUGAAUUGAAGUUUUUACUGCGGAGAAAGUCAGGCUCUGUUUAUACUGAUCCCAUCGACUGUUUCGAAGAACUGGACAGAAUCAGAAACAACAGCCUGUCAGCCGCUGAAGACCGACGAUGGGGAAUCGGCGGACGCGUGGGCGGCCAGCGGGACCCGCAGCGGCUGCAUCAAAAAGAGCCGGCGAAAACGCCACAGCCACCGCCACAGAACCAGGAACCCCUCUUUCGAUGAGCUUUUGUCCCCCCGGAAAGGGAAAAAGAAAAAGCGAAAGUCUGAACGGAGGCGGAGGAAAAGAAAUAGGUCUCCGUCACACAGCCUGUCACCUCUGAGGAAGAAGAAAAAGAAGAAGAAGAAGAGCUCCAAGAAAAGCAAACGACACAGGUAGAUCAUAAAAAAAAGGACACAAACACGGUCGCCAGCAUUCACUUUAUCUGAUCAAAUCUGUUGUUUCACAUUUCAGAUGCUUUCAAAGAAGUCGAAACACAGGUAAAGGAUUUCUUAGUGCUGCUGCUUCUGCGCUCGCCGCUGCGUGCAUGUCUGCAGCGCCGACACUUCGGAUCAGAGGAGCAGCUUUGUUGGUAUCAAAGCCAACACCUCACCAUUCUGUCCUCUUUCAUCCCGCAGCUCUUCAAGUUUAAAGCAUAAGAGGAGGGAUGAACGGAAGCACAAGAAAAGGUCAGUCUGUUGCAUCACCCACCACCUGCAGAACUCACAAGAAAAGAGGGGAUUUUCAGGAAUGUCAUCAUGCAGAGGAUCACUGGGUGAAGUGGAAAUAUGC
This 791-nucleotide long non-coding RNA is filed under the name Oryzias javanicus (javanese ricefish). RNAcentral describes it as "lncRNA (ENSOJAG00000011667.1)". Lineage: Eukaryota; Metazoa; Chordata; Actinopteri; Beloniformes; Adrianichthyidae. The record is from RNAcentral.